Non-coding RNA from Paramuricea clavata, 113 nucleotides. NCBI's taxonomy places the organism in Eukaryota, Metazoa, Cnidaria, Anthozoa, Malacalcyonacea, Plexauridae. The record is from the annotation of a GenBank genome assembly.
UCGACCAACGAAAAAUUCGUUGGUCGAGCGGGAUUUGAACUCGCAUCUUCGGGUAUCCAGACCGCCGCUCUACCCGUUCAAAUCCCGCUCGAGCCAACGAAUUUUUCGUUGGU